RNAcentral lists this ribosomal RNA (390 nucleotides) under uncultured Syntrophorhabdus sp. Its description in RNAcentral is "bacterial SSU rRNA". It matches the Rfam family "Bacterial small subunit ribosomal RNA", at positions 991 to 1382 of the family's 1533-position model. Lineage: Bacteria; Pseudomonadati; Thermodesulfobacteriota; Syntrophorhabdia; Syntrophorhabdales; Syntrophorhabdaceae. The record is from RNAcentral.
UAGUAGGGAACCGAGAGGGACCGACUCUUCGGAGAGCCUGCACAGGUGCUGCAUGGCUGUCGUCAGCUCGUGCCGUGAGAUGUCCGGUUAAGUCCGGUAACGAGCGCAACCCUCAUCUCUAGUUGCCAUCAUUAAGUUGGGCACUCUAGAGAAACUGCGCAGUUAAUGCGGAGGAAGGUGGGGAUGACGUCAAGUCCUCAUGGCCCUUAUGUCCAGGGCUACACACGUGCUACAAUGGGCGGUACAAAGGGUCGCAAACCCGUAAGGGGGAGCAAAUCCAUCUAAAGCCGUCCUCAGUUCGGAUUGAGGUCUGCAACUCGACCUCAUGAAGCUGGAAUCGCUAGUAAUCGCGGAUCAGCAUGCCCGCGGUCGAAUACGUUCCCGGGCCUU